GACAGAGGGUGCAAACGUUGUCCGGAUUUACUGGGCGUAAAGAGCGCGCAGGCGGUCGUUCAAGUCGAGUGUGAAAGCCCCCGGCUCAACUGGGGAGGGUCACUCGAUACUGAUCGACUUGAAGGCAGGAGAGGGAAGCGGAAUUCCCGGUGUAGUGGUGAAAUGCGUAGAUAUCGGGAGGAACACCAGUGGCGAAGGCGGCUUCCUGGCCUGUUCUUGACGCUGAGGCGCGAAAGCUAGGGGAGCAAACGGG
This 253-nucleotide ribosomal RNA is filed under the name uncultured bacterium. RNAcentral describes it as "partial 16S ribosomal RNA". It matches the Rfam family "Bacterial small subunit ribosomal RNA", at positions 524 to 776 of the family's 1533-position model. The record is from RNAcentral.